GUACGGAAGGCAGCGAGUGGGGAAUACUUGCACAAUGGGCGAAAGCCUGAUGGCAGCUAUGCCGCGUGUAUGAAGAAGGCCUUAGGGUUGUAAAGUACUUUCAUCGGGGAGGAAAAAACAAAACUAAUAAUUUUAUUUCUUGACGUUACCCGAAAAAGAAGCACCGGCUAACUCCGUGCCAGCAGCCGCGGUAAUACGGAGGGUGCUAGCGUUAAUCAGAAUUACUGGGCGUAAAGAGCACGUAGGUGGUUUUUUUAAGUCAGAUGUGAAAUCCCUGGGCUUAACCUAGGAACUGCAUUUUGAAACUGAAAUACUAGAGUAUCGUAGAGGGAGGUAGAAUUCUAGGUGUAGCGGUGAAAUGCGUAGAUAUCUGGAGGAAUACCUGUGGCGAAAGCGGCCUCCUAAACGAAUACUGACACUGAGGUGCGAAAGCGUGGGGAGCAAACAGGGAUUAGAUACC
Molecule: ribosomal RNA, 460 nt
Filed under: uncultured bacterium
Lineage: Bacteria
Description: bacterial SSU rRNA
Rfam family: Bacterial small subunit ribosomal RNA
Source: RNAcentral